GAUGAAGAACGCAGCGAAAUGCGAUAACUAAUGUGAAUUGCAGAAUUCAGAGAAUCAUCGAGUCUUUGAACGCACAUUGCGCCCCCUGGUAUUCCGGGGGGCAUGCCUGUCCGAGCGUCAUUGCUGCCCUCAAGCACGGCUUGUGUGUUGGGCUCCGUCCCCCCGGGGACGGGCCCGAAAGGCAGCGGCGGCACCGAGUCCGGUCCUCGAGCGUAUGGGGCUUUGUCACCCGCUCUGUAGGCCCGGCCGGCGCCAGCCGACAACCCAUCAUCCUUUUCAGGUUGACCUCGGAUCAGGUAGGGAUACCCGCUGAACUUAAGCAUAUCAAUAAGCGGAGGA
This 339-nucleotide unclassified non-coding RNA is filed under the name soil metagenome. Its description in RNAcentral is "partial contains 5.8S ribosomal RNA, internal transcribed spacer 2, and large subunit ribosomal RNA". The stretch from base 1 to 120 matches the Rfam family "5.8S ribosomal RNA", at positions 35 to 154 of the family's 154-position model. The record is from RNAcentral.